ACACGUGAGUAACCUGCCCUUAACUCUGGGAUAAGCCUGGGAAACUGGGUCUAAUACCGGAUAUGACUCCUCAUCGCAUGGUGGGGGGUGGAAAGCUUUAUUGUGGUUUUGGAUGGACUCGCGGCCUAUCAGCUUGUUGGUGAGGUAAUGGCUUACCAAGGCGACGACGGGUAGCCGGCCUGAGAGGGUGACCGGCCACACUGGGACUGAGACACGGCCCAGACUCCUACGGGAGGCAGCAGUGGGGAAUAUUGCACAAUGGGCGCAAGCCUGAUGCAGCGACGCCGCGUGAGGGAUGACGGCCUUCGGGUUGUAAACCUCUUUCAGUAGGGAAGAAGCGAAAGUGACGGUACCUGCAGAAGAAGCGCCGGCUAACUACGUGCCAGCAGCCGCGGUAAUACGUAGGGCGCAAGCGUUAUCCGGAAUUAUUGGGCGUAAAGAGCUCGUAGGCGGUUUGUCGCGUCUGCCGUGAAAGUCCGGGGCUCAACUCCGGAUCUGCGGUGGGUACGGGCAGACUAGAGUGAUGUAGGGGAGACUGGAAUUCCUGGUGUAGCGGUGAAAUGCGCAGAUAUCAGGAGGAACACCGAUGGCGAAGGCAGGUCUCUGGGCAUUAACUGACGCUG
Molecule: ribosomal RNA, 623 nt
Filed under: uncultured Actinomycetes bacterium
Lineage: Bacteria; Bacillati; Actinomycetota; Actinomycetes
Description: bacterial SSU rRNA
Rfam family: Bacterial small subunit ribosomal RNA
Source: RNAcentral